Molecule: non-coding RNA, 1618 nt
Organism: Durio zibethinus
Lineage: Eukaryota; Viridiplantae; Streptophyta; Magnoliopsida; Malvales; Malvaceae
Source: RefSeq, a predicted model, not a curated record
UUCCAGCCCAGGUCUCCACGGCCACAACGUGGAAUUCUUACCACUAAACUACAGCCACGUCAUGACAAUCGGGGAACAUUAUCAAAUAUUAAUUGUUGCUACUAAUGCGAACCACGCAACACUUUCUCGCUAUCUUGUUGCGUCAUGUUGAGGUGCAGGUUCAUGGUUCCAAUCUGAUCUUUCACUACCUGAUUGCUGCAAGUUUUGCUGCCUUUGCUUCACAGAUAUGGGCUGCCAUGGACUUGUCUUUUCUAAAGAAUGACUUGCAGUGGGAGAAGUGAUAUCCAACACUAGGGGUCAAACUGUAGCCUCUGGAUCAGAAAACACUGUAGUACAGACUAAUAAGGAGGACGGCAAGGAAUUGGAAAUGCCGGAUGGUACUGAAAUUGUGCUGGUGGUGGAGGUGUAGGUGGCGGUAGAGAUGGAGGAGGAGUGGGAGUGGGAGUGGGAGGACAACCGUAACACAGAUAUGGUCCAACAGGCUGUCCAUAUGCAGAGCCAGGAGGCUUUCUCCUGCACUUGCACCUGCCAGGGUCGGUUGUGGCUUGGUCUAAAUGAUGAUGUUUAUGUGUGACCAUGUUGUGAACCCCUCGAGCAACUCCUGGAUAGCACCUUCGACGACAGCCAAAGGAUAGACCAUGUAACGAUCAGCUGCCCGGUGAAGCUUAUCAAAUCCAUAUUCUACAGAGUCACUCACAUGAUCCCUGACUUGAUUCCUCUUCAUGGCCUCGUUGUUUCUUCUUUCUCUUUGCUUUUGGAGGCUUGUCCACGACCUUCACACUUGUAAAGAAGAACUUAACGUUCUUCACAAUUAAAUAAAUAGAGGAAGAGGAAUAAAGUUUGUGCUUGAAAUCAAAGCUAUAUAUUCCAUAUCACUUAUCAGGAACUUACAAACGGUGUAGAGUAAUUAUUCCGGAAUCCUGACUACAUCAUCAUUCAUCAUCAUCUAACAUUGUCAGUAAAUUAAGGGCUACCAUUUGCUAAAUUCCCUACCACAUUUCUUUGAUCUUCUGCUUGAAGCCUUGAUGGUGUAAAAAAUCUUUCAUUAAUGAUUAGAUAAAAUCUGGCUUGGCCUAGAUUUGAAAGUUCAAUUGGAAACCGAUUUAUUUUUCUUUUCAAAAAGAAUUUGCAUUUAAUUCUUUUGGUACUUCAGCGAUAUAAAGUUUCAAAGAUUAGUUAGGGGAAAAUUCUUUAGCAGUGGCAUGUUUGUGUUUUUGUUUCUCUUCUGUCAAAGAUUAGUAAGGGAUUAAUCAAUUGAACUUUUCUUUGUUUCUACUUCGUUGUUGGACAGAUAAUCGUUUUACUACUGAGAUUGUCCAAAUAAUAUCUCAAAAGUAACUCGAACCAGUUGGAUGUUGGACUUGAUAAUAUUGUAAAAAAAUUUAUUGGAAGUUCAAACCAUCACCUCUUACUAAAAGCCAUGGACAUAUAUUAUUUUAUUACAUAAGCAGAGAUCAAUCCUUGACCUCUGGUUUCAAUACUUUGAUUUUCAGAUACUAAGCUGAUGUCCAUGUACUACCAAAGUUACUAACUUUAAUUGUGCCACUACUGUGGUUGGUCUUAUUUACGGUCCGAAUCUUUAACAUCGGUUAUCAGUAUUGCCCAGGGCGGCAAUAAU